Molecule: ribosomal RNA, 439 nt
Filed under: uncultured bacterium
Lineage: Bacteria
Description: partial 16S ribosomal RNA
Rfam family: Bacterial small subunit ribosomal RNA
Source: RNAcentral
CUACGGGUUGCUCCAGUGGGGAAUAUUGGACAAUGGGCGAAAGCCUGAUCCAGCAAUGCCGCGUGAGUGAUGAAGGCCUUAGGGUUGUAAAGCUCUUUUACCCGGGAUGAUAAUGACAGUACCGGGAGAAUAAGCUCCGGCUAACUCCGUGCCAGCAGCCGCGGUAAUACGGAGGGAGCUAGCGUUGUUCGGAAUUACUGGGCGUAAAGCGCACGUAGGCGGCUUUGUAAGUUAGAGGUGAAAGCCUGGAGCUCAACUCCAGAAUUGCCUUUAAGACUGCAUCGCUCGAAUCCAGGAGAGGUCAGUGGAAUUCCGAGUGUAGAGGUGAAAUUCGUAGAUAUUCGGAAGAACACCAGUGGCGAAGGCGGCUGACUGGACUGGUAUUGACGCUGAGGUGCGAAAGCGUGGGGAGCAAACAGGAUUAGAUACCCGGGUAGUC